RNAcentral lists this ribosomal RNA (253 nucleotides) under uncultured bacterium. RNAcentral describes it as "partial 16S ribosomal RNA". It matches the Rfam family "Bacterial small subunit ribosomal RNA", at positions 524 to 776 of the family's 1533-position model. The record is from RNAcentral.
UACGGAGGGAGCUAGCGUUGUUCGGAACUACUGGGCGUAAAGCGCACGUAGGCGGCGCAGCAAGUCAGGGGUGAAAUCCCGGGGCUCAACCCCGGAACUGCCCUUGAAACUGCAGUGCUAGAAUCUUGGAGAGGUCAGUGGAAUUCCGAGUGUAGAGGUGAAAUUCGUAGAUAUUCGGAAGAACACCAGUGGCGAAGGCGACUGACUGGACAAGUAUUGACGCUGAGGUGCGAAAGCGUGGGGAGCAAACAGG